This is a long non-coding RNA of Helianthus annuus (common sunflower), 3434 nucleotides long. RefSeq lists it as uncharacterized. Lineage: Eukaryota; Viridiplantae; Streptophyta; Magnoliopsida; Asterales; Asteraceae. The transcript has 3 exons. The record is from RefSeq and is a predicted model, not a curated record.
CAGCAUGUUUUCAAGAUGGAGCAAGAAGAAUAUUCUAAGGAGGAAAUAGACAGGAGUUACAUACAGUUUGAGGAUAAUCAAGAUAUUUUAGAUCUCAUUAAAAGAAACCUGGGGGGAUCCUUGCUCUUCUGGAUGAGGCUUGGUAUGUAUACGUUUCCAUAUACUUUUGUCUAUGUUUCUUAUAUAUUAUGUUUGUGUUUUUUAGCACAAUAAUCUACUGGAUAGAAUAUGUAAGUUAAGAGGAGUAGAUAGAAUAUAUAAGCUUUCAUAUAUUGUGUGGACAAUAUACAUUGUAAUUAUCUUUACCGCAAUUAGUUUUCAUAAUUCUAUACCACUAGACUACGGUUGGCCGCCACCACCCUUACAAAAUGUGUCAUUUGUGUUUUUCCCUACUCCUGAGUCAUUUAAUUUGGUUCGUCUCACACAAAUUCUAGUUAGAAUGAGUCUUUUAUACAAAAAAAAAAUAAGUGUCAAUUUGGUUCGGGUCAAAACGAGUUAUUUCAAAGAAGUAUCAAACUGUGUUCAGGUCAAAAUAUACCAUUCUUAAAAAAGUGUAGAUUUGGUUCGGAUCGAAAAAUGUUGUCAUCAUUAUUAUUUAAAACGGUAUUGUCCACAUUAAUGUUUGUUCAACAACAGCUAUUUGUGGUUCUUAGAAGAUCUCUAACAAGAGCAGAUUCCUUAAAAUUAAAGCGACUUGUGGCUUCCAAUCAACUACCUUAAAAUUAAAGCGUCUUGUGGCUUCCAAUCAACUGGUAUCAUGUCAAAUUUGAUUUAAAGGUGGUAUAGAUAUGAGUAAAGGUGGAACAUGGGUGGCUUGGGCAAGUUACUAAAACAGGUUGUAGACGUCAUAGACUUUUUGCUAUUAAGAAACAUGCCAACCUCUUUACUAGACUUUCCCAGCCUCUUUACUAACCCUUUUUGAAGUUGUUUUGUUUCAUUGUCUAAUAUAAUGCAGCCUAGAUGUACACCUUCAAAAUGCGGUACUGAUGAUCAUGUUGGCUAGCCUUUGGUUGGCCAUAUUUUCACCUUCAUUACCUGUAGCGCAACACGCGCAGUUCAUUACCCGUGGACUUACAUGUUGAAACAAAUCAUAUUUUAAUUUGGUUAGCCAACAUGAUCAUCUACUCUUAUUAUGUUUCCAAAUAUGGUUACAAUGCACUGUUAUAUCAAUAAUAAUCUAAUUAUUUUAUUGAAGUGAUCUAGGUGUUUUAUACAUUUAGACACACUUUGGGAAACUUUCUACCCAUAUGACCCGUUUCGUUUUCAGCUUAUGUUUCAUAUCACUUCUUUAACCUUAAGAUAAAAAACCCUUAAUCGGCCCAUAUGUAAGUAAAUGAACUGUAACUUUUGCCUCUAAUAACGUCUUAUACUUACUCCGCCCGAAUUCAUGUUUAAUAUAUAUAUAUAUAUAUAUACACACACACAUACAUAUACCGACUGCAUUGCUGGCAAAACUGUUGCUUUUGGCCAAUAACUUUUAUGCAAUUAGUUUUGUUGCUCAUAGAACUAUUCUAUAUGGUGUCCAUGGGAGUGUCUACAGAUUACUGUGUGCACGGGGCGCUUCGGCUUUAAGCCUCCACCUGAACUGAGUUAUUCUACCUCCAUCACUAUCUCCCUCUUUCUAAUCGAGGAUUGGGGGUUUUAAGCAUCAUGGUGUUGCUCCGCAGGUAUUGCUUAAAUUUUUAUAUAAACAAUGUUGUUUUGUAUAGCUUUGUUGUUUGGUCACGAAUUUCAUAUGUUUGUUUGACGUAUAAUCCAUGAAGUGUUCUUUCGAAUUAUUGAUGUGUUUUUGUCAGCUUCUUUUUUAUAGAUUCAAACGGUUGGACCCUUGCUGUGGUGGGAAUACUUAUACAACAUAACUGGAUUGCUAAAACUAGUGGAAUACAAAUUUUGGGUUUAUCUCAUUUGUGUUUUUAAACAUGAUAGUGUCCACGUGUGUGCAGGUUAAAUUUACAAGUUUUGAUGCCAGAUUGCAUAAUGGCCAGUGAACUUUAGCAAGAUUCAAGUUCUACAGUUGUAAAGGAUAGGUUAGUGGUAGGCAAGAGUUCAAAUGAUUUUAACUUGAACGAUGGGCUAAUAGUUGGAUAAAAAAAAGUAUUGUAAAUGGUCUUCGUGGUUGCAGUGAAGUUAGUGGUAUGAUUAGGUUACAAAGAAAUGAUUUUGAUUGUAAUUCAAUACAUCUGAUAACAUUUCUUAGGCAAAUUGCUAAACAAGUUGUAGACGUCCUUGACUUUUUGCUAUUAAUAAACAUGCCAACCUCUUUACUAGACUUUCCGAGCCUCUUUACUAACCCUUUUUGGAGUUGUUUUGUUUCAUGGUAUAAUAUAAUGCAACCUAGAUGUACACCUUCAAAAUUCGGCAUUGAUGAUCAUGUUGGCUAGCCUUUGGUUGGCCAUAUUUUCACCUUCAUUACCCAUGGCGCAACAUACGCAGGUCAUUACCCUUGGACUUAAAUGUUGAAACAAAUGAUAUUUUAAUUUUUUUUGUUGAAGUUAAUUUAUUAUGAUUUCAAUUUCAUAAAAGUUAUAAUAAUUAAUGGGAAUGUUUGGUUAAAACUUAGGAUUUUUUCUUGCUUAUGUUGAAAUGUGGUGUAGAAAAGUUGGAAUUUGGCAAAACUUCUAAUUUUUACAACUUUCAACCAGUUUCACUUCUGGUCAAAACAUUUUUUAUUACAUGUAUAUAUGGUUGGAAAGUUUUUAGCUAUAAAAAAACUUUUUAUAUGUAUGAAGCUGUCUUCAAGAAGCAGACAACGCUGGCAAUAACAGACUUAUGGGAUUGGCGCAUCAUGAAUAUGUUAGGAUAUUCAUGAGUUAUGGAUGGAUGGGAUAUAAAGAAAAUUCUACAACUGAAGCUAAGAUUGUCAAGCUCUUUGAUAAGGUAUGAUUUUGUGUGUAAUAAUGAGUUCAUUUACAUUUGUUAACAUGAAAGAUAUAAGGCUUACCUUUUUUAUAACUUUUUAUGUUAGUUUUUCUUUAUACUUCAAGUUUUGGAAUAUGAAAAUGGUAAGCCGUUUUAUAAAUCUUGAAUAUGAAGUUAUGCUUUUGUAGAUAAUACUCCCUCUGUUUUAUAAAGGUGUCAACCCUUGACUGGGCAUAUACCCUUUCUAUAAUGUUUGAAAAUUUAAUUUUCGAUAUUUCCUCCACUCAUGGCAAUACGAAUUAAUUUUUUAGACCAUGCUUUCAGCUUACAUGAUUUUCUUGGGUUACACGAUUUUAUUCAAGGUUAUAGGAACAAGAAAGCAUUCCAUGCUGUUAUUCUGACUGCUAUUUGGUGUGUGUUAUGUAUGCGAAAGGAUAAAAUGUUUAAUCACGCGGUGUCUUUGGUGAAAGUUGUGAAAGAAAUCAAAGCUGUGAGUUAUUUGUUGGUGAAGAAUAGAUCGAAACGAUAAGUUUAAAGCAGCACUUGUGAUUAUUUCGUAUUUGUUUUUGUCAGUA